Molecule: ribosomal RNA, 1057 nt
Filed under: Escherichia coli 1-110-08_S4_C2
Lineage: Bacteria; Pseudomonadati; Pseudomonadota; Gammaproteobacteria; Enterobacterales; Enterobacteriaceae
Description: bacterial LSU rRNA
Rfam family: Bacterial large subunit ribosomal RNA
Source: RNAcentral
UUAAGCGACUAAGCGUACACGGUGGAUGCCCUGGCAGUCAGAGGCGAUGAAGGACGUGCUAAUCUGCGAUAAGCGUCGGUAAGGUGAUAUGAACCGUUAUAACCGGCGAUUUCCGAAUGGGGAAACCCAGUGUGUUUCGACACACUAUCAUUAACUGAAUCCAUAGGUUAAUGAGGCGAACCGGGGGAACUGAAACAUCUAAGUACCCCGAGGAAAAGAAAUCAACCGAGAUUCCCCCAGUAGCGGCGAGCGAACGGGGAGCAGCCCAGAGCCUGAAUCAGUGUGUGUGUUAGUGGAAGCGUCUGGAAAGGCGCGCGAUACAGGGUGACAGCCCCGUACACAAAAAUGCACAUGCUGUGAGCUCGAUGAGUAGGGCGGGACACGUGGUAUCCUGUCUGAAUAUGGGGGGACCAUCCUCCAAGGCUAAAUACUCCUGACUGACCGAUAGUGAACCAGUACCGUGAGGGAAAGGCGAAAAGAACCCCGGCGAGGGGAGUGAAAAAGAACCUGAAACCGUGUACGUACAAGCAGUGGGAGCACGCUUAGGCGUGUGACUGCGUACCUUUUGUAUAAUGGGUCAGCGACUUAUAUUCUGUAGCAAGGUUAACCGAAUAGGGGAGCCGAAGGGAAACCGAGUCUUAACUGGGCGUUAAGUUGCAGGGUAUAGACCCGAAACCCGGUGAUCUAGCCAUGGGCAGGUUGAAGGUUGGGUAACACUAACUGGAGGACCGAACCGACUAAUGUUGAAAAAUUAGCGGAUGACUUGUGGCUGGGGGUGAAAGGCCAAUCAAACCGGGAGAUAGCUGGUUCUCCCCGAAAGCUAUUUAGGUAGCGCCUCGUGAAUUCAUCUCCGGGGGUAGAGCACUGUUUCGGCAAGGGGGUCAUCCCGACUUACCAACCCGAUGCAAACUGCGAAUACCGGAGAAUGUUAUCACGGGAGACACACGGCGGGUGCUAACGUCCGUCGUGAAGAGGGAAACAACCCAGACCGCCAGCUAAGGUCCCAAAGUCAUGGUUAAGUGGGAAACGAUGUGGGAAGGCCCAGACAGCCAGGAUG